Suncus etruscus (white-toothed pygmy shrew) is the source of this 104-nucleotide small nuclear RNA. The record is from RefSeq and is a predicted model, not a curated record. NCBI's taxonomy places the organism in Eukaryota, Metazoa, Chordata, Mammalia, Eulipotyphla, Soricidae.
GUGCUUGCUUCGGCAGCACAUAUACUAAAAUUGGAAUGAUACAGAGAUCAGCAUGGCUCCUGUGCAAGGAUGACAUGCAAAUUUGUGAAGCAUUCCAUAUUUUU